Molecule: ribosomal RNA, 507 nt
Filed under: uncultured bacterium
Lineage: Bacteria
Description: bacterial SSU rRNA
Rfam family: Bacterial small subunit ribosomal RNA
Source: RNAcentral
UAGUCCUAGCUGUAAACGAUGAUUACUGGGUGUGGGGGGUCGAACCUCUGUGCCGAAGCUAACGCGAUAAGUAAUCCGCCUGGGGAGUACGGUCGCAAGACUGAAACUCAAAGGAAUUGACGGGGACCCGCACAAGCGGUGGAGCAUGUGGUUUAAUUCGACGCAACGCGAGGAACCUUACCAGGGCUUAAAUGCAGUUGGACAGGGGUGGAAACACCCCCUUCUUCGGACUGAUUGCAAGGUGCUGCAUGGUUGUCGUCAGCUCGUGCCGUGAGGUGUCAGGUUAAGUCCUAUAACGAGCGCAACCCCUGUGGUUAGUUGCCAGCGAGUAAUGUCGGGAACUCUAGCCAGACUGCCGGUGCAAACCGUGAGGAAGGUGGGGAUGACGUCAAAUCAUCACGGCCCUUACGUCCUGGGCUACACACGUGCUACAAUGGUAGGUACAGAGAGCAGCCACUGCGCGAGCAGGAGCGAAUCUAUAAAACCUAUCUCAGUUCGGAUCGGAGU